AGUGAACGCUGGCGGUAGGCCUAACACAUGCAAGUCGAACGGCAGCACAGUAAGAGCUUGCUCUUACGGGUGGCGAGUGGCGGACGGGUGAGGAAUACAUCGGAAUCUACUUUUUCGUGGGGGAUAACGUAGGGAAACUUACGCUAAUACCGCAUACGACCUACGGGUGAAAGCAGGGGAUCUUCGGACCUUGCGCGAUUGAAUGAGCCGAUGUCGGAUUAGCUAGUUGGCGGGGUAAAGGCCCACCAAGGCGACGAUCCGUAGCUGGUCUGAGAGGAUGAUCAGCCACACUGGAACUGAGACACGGUCCAGACUCCUACGGGAGGCAGCAGUGGGGAAUAUUGGACAGUGGGCGCAAGCCUGAUCCAGCCAUACCGCGUGGGUGAAGAAGGCCUUCGGGUUGUAAAGCCCUUUUGUUGGGAAAGAAAAGCAGCAGAUUAAUACCCCGCUGUUCUGACGGUACCCAAAGAAUAAGCACCGGCUAACUUCGUG
Molecule: ribosomal RNA, 492 nt
Filed under: uncultured bacterium
Lineage: Bacteria
Description: partial 16S ribosomal RNA
Rfam family: Bacterial small subunit ribosomal RNA
Source: RNAcentral